CGUACAGGCGGCCAUAUAAGUCGGAUGUGAAAUUCUCGGGCUUAACCCGAGACCUGCAUUCGAUACUGUUUGGCUUGAGAUCAGGAGAGGAGAGUGGAAUAUGUGGUGUAGCGGUGAAAUGCGUAGAUAUCACAUAGAACACCGGUGGCGAAGGCGGCUCUCUGGCCUGAUUCUGACGCUGACGCGCGAAAGUUAGGGUAGCGAACAGGAUUAGAUACCCUGGUAGUCC
This 229-nucleotide ribosomal RNA is filed under the name uncultured bacterium. RNAcentral's name for it is "partial 16S ribosomal RNA". It matches the Rfam family "Bacterial small subunit ribosomal RNA", at positions 568 to 796 of the family's 1533-position model. The record is from RNAcentral.